CAUCAAAUCUCAGCAAUAUCGUCAUUUAAGAUAAUAAGUUUUAGUCAUUUUAUGCAAGUUAAAGGACAGAUGGAUCAACAGAAAGUAGUGAAUUUUGAAAGAUAGUAAACAGCUGACUCAAGCCUGGUGGUACACCCCUCUGAUCCCAGUGACGCUAGAGGCUGAGGCAGGAGGAUCCCAGGUUUGAGGCCACCCUGGGAACCUUAGAGAAAAGUCACAGGGCUGGGACGUGGCUCGCGGUAGAGCACUCGCCUACCCAA
RNAcentral lists this long non-coding RNA (260 nucleotides) under Marmota monax (woodchuck). Lineage: Eukaryota; Metazoa; Chordata; Mammalia; Rodentia; Sciuridae. The record is from RNAcentral.